AGCGAACGCUGGCGGCAGGCCUAACACAUGCAAGUCGAACGGAUCCUUCGGGAUUAGUGGCGGACGGGUGAGUAACACGUGGGAACGUGCCCUUUGGUUCGGAGCAACUCAGGGAAACUUGAGCUAAUACCGGAUGUGCCCUUCGGGGGAAAGAUUUAUCGCCAUUGGAGCGGCCCGCGUCUGAUUAGCUAGUUGGUGAGGUAAAGGCUCACCAAGGCGACGAUCAGUAGCUGGUCUGAGAGGAUGAUCAGCCACAUCGGGACUGAGACACGGCCCAAACUCCUACGGGAGGCAGCAGUGGGGAAUCUUGCGCAAUGGGCGAAAGCCUGACGCAGCCAUGCCGCGUGAAUGAUGAAGGUCUUAGGAUUGUAAAAUUCUUUCACCGGGGACGAUAAUGACGGUACCCGGAGAAGAAGCCCCGGCUAACUUCGUGCCAGCCGCCGCCGUAA
Molecule: ribosomal RNA, 449 nt
Filed under: uncultured bacterium
Lineage: Bacteria
Description: partial 16S ribosomal RNA
Rfam family: Bacterial small subunit ribosomal RNA
Source: RNAcentral